AUAUAGACCUUUACAAUAGAUAGUAAGGUCUGCGUGUAUGUGUAUAUGUGCAGCAGAGAAAUCCACCAGUUAUAUGUUUUGCCUGUGAGCUAAGAAAACUAAAUAAGCACCAAUGUCUCAUUUAGAUGUCAGCACAGUAGGUGGAACCUGCAUUUGAAUGUGACUCAUAAUUGCCUAGAAUUUGGAUCUGGCUUGCAUUCAGUGCUCCUAAAAUC
Molecule: long non-coding RNA, 215 nt
Filed under: Bos taurus (domestic cattle)
Lineage: Eukaryota; Metazoa; Chordata; Mammalia; Artiodactyla; Bovidae
Description: long non-coding RNA NONBTAT026893
Source: RNAcentral